This 303-nucleotide ribosomal RNA is filed under the name uncultured bacterium. RNAcentral's name for it is "bacterial SSU rRNA". It matches the Rfam family "Bacterial small subunit ribosomal RNA", at positions 30 to 332 of the family's 1533-position model. The record is from RNAcentral.
AUUGAACGCUGGCGGCAUGCCUUACACAUGCAAGUCGAACGGCAGCGGGCCUUCGGGUGCCGGCGAGUGGCGAACGGGUGAGUAAUGCUAUCGGAACGUGCCAUUGAGUGGGGGAUAACGUAGCGAAAGUUGCGCUAAUACCGCAUAUUCUGUGAAGCAGGAAAGCAGGGGACCGCAAGGCCUUGCGCUCUUUGAGCGGCCGAUGUCAGAUUAGCUAGUUGGUGAGGUAAAGGCUUACCUAAGGCGACGAUCUGUAGCGGGUCUGAGAGGAUGAUCCGCCACACUGGAACUGAGACACGGUCC